This 432-nucleotide ribosomal RNA is filed under the name uncultured bacterium. RNAcentral describes it as "partial 16S ribosomal RNA". It matches the Rfam family "Bacterial small subunit ribosomal RNA", at positions 29 to 507 of the family's 1533-position model. The record is from RNAcentral.
ACGAACGCUGGCGGCAUGCCUAACACAUGCAAGUCGAACGAGACCUUCGGGUCUAGUGGCGCACGGGUGCGUAACGCGUGGGAACCUGCCCUUAGGUUCGGAAUAACUCCCCGAAAGGGGUGCUAAUACCGGAUAAUGUCUUCGGACCAAAGAUUUAUCGCCUUUGGAUGGGCCCGCGUUGGAUUAGCUAGUUGGUAGGGUAAAAGCCUACCAAGGCGACGAUCCAUAGCUGGUCUGAGAGGAUGAUCAGCCACACUGGGACUGAGACACGGCCCAGACUCCUACGGGAGGCUGCAGUGGGGAAUAUUGGACAAUGGGCGAAAGCCUGAUCCAGCAAUGCCGCGUGAGUGAUGAAGGCCUUAGGGUUGUAAAGCUCUUUUACCCGGGAUGAUAAUGACAGUACCGGGAGAAUAAGCUCCGGCUAACUCCGUG